GGAGUUGCUCCCUACGAUGACUGAUACAUGCAAGUCGAACGAUGAACCACUUCGGUGGGGAUUAGUGGCGAACGGGUGAGUAACACGUGGGCAAUCUGCCCUGCACUCUGGGACAAGCCCUGGAAACGGGGUCUAAUACCGGAUACUGAUCCUCGCAGGCAUCUGCGAGGUUCGAAAGCUCCGGCGGUGCAGGAUGAGCCCGCGGCCUAUCAGCUAGUUGGUGAGGUAACGGCUCACCAAGGCGACGACGGGUAGCCGGCCUGAGAGGGCGACCGGCCACACUGGGACUGAGACACGGCCCAGACUCCUACGGGAGGCAGCAGUGGGGAAUAUUGCACAAUGGGCGAAAGCCUGAUGCAGCGACGCCGCGUGAGGGAUGACGGCCUUCGGGUUGUAAACCUCUUUCAGCAGGGAAGAAGCGAAAGUGACGGUACCUGCAGAAGAAGCGCCGGCUAACUACGUGCCAGCAGCCGCGGUAAUACGUAGGGCGCAAGCGUUGUCCGGAAUUAUUGGGCGUAAAGAGCUCGUAGGCGGCUUGUCACGUCGGUUGUGAAAGCCCGGGGCUUAACCCCGGGUCUGCAGUCGAUACGGGCAGGCUAGAGUUCGGUAGGGGAGAUCGGAAUUCCUGGUGUAGCGGUGAAAUGCGCAGAUAUCAGGAGGAACACCGGUGGCGAAGGCGGAUCUCUGGGCCGAUACUGACGCUGAGGAGCGAAAGCGUGGGGAGCGAACAGGAUUAGAUACCCUGGUAGUCCACGCCGUAAACGGUGGGCACUAGGUGUGGGCAACAUUCCACGUUGUCCGUGCCGCAGCUAACGCAUUAAGUGCCCCGCCUGGGGAGUACGCCGCAAGGCUAAAACUCAAAGGAAUGACGGGGGCCCGCACAAGCGGCGGAGCAUGUGGCUUAAUUCGACGCAACGCGAAGAACCUUACCUAGGCUUGACAUACACCGGAAAACCCUGGAGACAGGGUCCUCCUUGUUGUCGGUGUAGCAAGGUGAUGGCA
This 1002-nucleotide ribosomal RNA is filed under the name Streptomyces rochei. RNAcentral's name for it is "bacterial SSU rRNA". It matches the Rfam family "Bacterial small subunit ribosomal RNA", at positions 26 to 1056 of the family's 1533-position model. Lineage: Bacteria; Bacillati; Actinomycetota; Actinomycetes; Kitasatosporales; Streptomycetaceae. The record is from RNAcentral.